UCUUUCUGCUAACCCUGUCUCUGCAAAAUUCUCUUCUUCUUCGCCGAACUCUCAACAAAUCUUUGAUUUUUAUUUUUGAAUUUUUUAAUGUUUCGUCCUCUGAGUUGUGUCAUCUGGAAUAGAGAACACACUAGAAAACAUACCCAAUUCCUCCACCAAAAUAGGAAACCCUAAAAAAUCAAUGAGGGAGAAGAAAUUCAAUAAAUCUGAUUAAAAUUGGAUAUUUAGGUGAAUAUUUUUUGAGAUGGGUGAAUUCCCAGGAAAUUGAAGUAGUAAUCCGAAAGAGAGAUGGGUAAAUUCGCAGGAAAUUGAAUAGUAAUGCAUGUCUGAGUCGUAAUGGAAAGCAAUCUAACACCACCACCACUAAUUGCAGGGUCUGACAAGAAGAGAAGAGACAUUCCUGAGACUGUAAUGUUUGUAAGAUUGAUUCUGAAAAUCUCACGAAUUUGAUAAUCCAUUGUGCUAUUAGAUCUGCCAGCUUUUUGAGUAUGAAUGUUGUCUAAGAGAUUGAUCAUGGGAGAUGGGUAUAUUAAGUGUUCAGGAUACGAAUCUGAGAUGGGGUUGUUGGAGAAAUUGGAUAAGAAGAUACUGUUGCUGCCAUAGUUUUGAGACUGUGCAGCUAGAAGAGGUGAGACUGCUGAUGGUGGAUAAGCAGGUGGUGAUUUACAGAAGAAAGAUGGUGUUGUAGCUGCUGUUGAAGUAAUUAUUAUUAGGGAAGAAGAGUUGAGACAUAACUGGGAGUGUAUGAUGCCAGAACAAACUGUAACUCACAGAGACAGGAAAAGCUCCCAUGGUUAAGAUGCUACUAUUGCACCAGUGUCAGAUGAUGGAUUUCAUGUCAUGUAACAAAGUUACCAGCGAUCUGCCCCUCCUGGAAGAAAAUGUACCUCGAGAAGCUUAUCAGGUUAUGAGCAAUCCAGCGCUAAGAAAAACUUGAAUUUGAAGUUUUGUAUAUCUAGGUCUUUUACAGGGUCAAAGAUUGAUGCAGCGAAACGAUUAGAAACUCUAGAUGUUUGAAAAUCUGUUUUGGUUCCUGUGGUUUGUGUGCUUGCUGUUUGCCGGAGAUUCAGGAGGCAAGGUGUAAUCAAAAAUAGGAUGUGGAGAUGUUGCAUUCAACUAUUCAAGAGAUGGUUCCUGCGGUUUGUGUGCUUGCUGUUUGCCGGAGAUUCAGGAGGCAAGGUUUAAUCAAAAAUACGGUGCAGAGAUGUUACAUUCAACUAUUCAAGAUAUUAAAAAUGGGCUUCCUCAAUGCAACAGAUUUACCAAGAGCAAAGCUUAGUGAUUUCACAGAAGGCAGACUCACUUAUGUUUGAAGCAAGAACGGGAUGACAGAGCGAAGGGUAUGUGAAAGAAUUCUGAUGAGGAAUGGAUUGCAGAAUUCUCAGACCACAGGGGGUUAUAUAUAUUAGAAGUUAGGUUCGAAUGGAAUUCUGAGUUGUCCAGGGAGAAACGCCUUGAUGUAGAACUGUUUUUGUACAGCGCAUAUAUCAUGUCAACGAUGAAUUAGAACAUCUAUAUAGUUUAAAAUCCCAAGAGAUUAGUCACCUGGCAACUGGAGAACCAGUUAAGAAGCAAACAAUGAAACAUCAUCAGCCGCAACCCACACAGAGAAACACUAGGAAAUCGGAGACUUCUGGGAGGGGUAGCAACGUGCAUUGAGCAACUCUGAUGAUGAAGACUAGGAGUCCAAUGAUUUUGUGAAGACUAUUCAAUGAAUUGGUUGGGCAGCAGGUAUUUAUUUUAAAAUUUUGGGUUCUUAUAAGAUUUUAUUCACAUUAUUUUAAAUUAUUUUUGAGUUAUAUUAUAUUGUUCAAUGGAUUUAUAUGUAAAUUAAAUCCAUAUGUAGGUUGGAUUGAAAUUACACAUGUAUGAGUGUAACAUUCUUUAUGAGCAAAUAAGUUACUGCGAUAUUGGUUACUCUCUAUCAUAUGUCUUUGUGAGAUUUGUUCAGUUCCCAAUAGUAAGAUCUGAACAUAACAAAGGUAGUCUGAUUACGAAUUUUUUGAAAUGCGAUUUCCUAUAAUGUGACGGAAACUGUGAAAUUGUUUUAGAGUUAACCGCUUCAUUGUAUGUUCUCAUGUGUCGGGAUCAAGCUGCUUCAUAUAUACCAGGAUCAAGCUAACAUGUUUCAAUGCUAUGUCCCUGAUGUUAGACCAGUCCUCCAUGCUCUACUUAUUGCAGAAUGGUAACAACAGUGGUAACAACAAUCCAAAUCCAAAUCCAGGUUCACUUGGGUGUAUAAAAAUGGGUAAGGAAGAACUAAGAGCACAUAAGAGCCGAUUUACAUUGUGGGUUAAAAGAUUCACUGCUAAAGGGAGAUUCAUCUAUAAAAAGGGGAAGAGGAUUGUGUUGCCAUCAUCAUUUACUGGAGGACCAAGGUAUAUGAUGCAGCUCUAUCAAGAUGCCAUUGCAAUUUGUUCACGUAUUGGUGUUCCAGAUCCGUUUAUAACAUUCACUUGCAAUCCCAAAUGGAAGGAAAUUACACUGGCUCUAAGCAAGAUACCAGGACAGCGACCAGAGGAUAGACCAGAUAUUAUUGCGAGGAUAUUUAAGCUAAAACUAAAGAAUCUGAUGGAGGUUCUACUUACGAAAAAACAUUUGGGUAUAUUAAUUAAAUACCCUUGCAUUUGGAACCCAUUUUGGGAAAGUGAAAGGAGUUGACCACAUCCAGCCUUAUUGUUCACGUUCCAAGGUGGAGCUCCAUAUCCACAACAUUCCUAAUAGGGAUUCUUCUGCACAACAAUCAUAAUCAAUAUAUAGAGUUGCCGAGACCCAUGGUUGCAGACAAUAGGGAUGCAGAUCAUACAAAAUGGACAACAUAGUUUCAUAGGAACUAUUUCAUUAAGAUGCUGGCGACGAGAUGUAAGGUGACGUAAUUCAGUGGUCGGUUCCUUUGGUUGAUAUGUGGUAGUUUUGGGGUUUGGUAGUGGUGGCUUUGGAAUCUCUUACUAUGAAUUGUGUUAUUUAUUUAGGUGACGAACCUUUGAAAAGGGAAGAUGGUCUACUACUCUGUAAGUGGUGGUAGUAUUAUGCAUCCAAAUUCCAAUUUUAUUUUGCAUAUAAAUAUGAUUCAUUCUUUGAUUAGUACAAAC
This is a long non-coding RNA of Papaver somniferum (opium poppy), 3092 nucleotides long. RefSeq lists it as uncharacterized. The transcript is spliced from 12 exons. The record is from RefSeq and is a predicted model, not a curated record. Lineage: Eukaryota; Viridiplantae; Streptophyta; Magnoliopsida; Ranunculales; Papaveraceae.